AUACUUACGUUGAAAAGGAGAGUAGCUUUUAAUUAAGUUAUAGCGAAUCAGGGACGGUGGAAGCCUGAUAUGGCGUUGAAAGUGAAGAACACCUUGGAGUUACUUACCGAAAGCAAAAUUGUGAGUAGACUAAGUCGUAGAUCCUGCGUUAAAGGUAAAGGGUAAGAACAGAUUAGUUCUUAAACUAGGGUGGUACCGCGGAUCAACAGUCAUUCGUCCCUUUU
Molecule: non-coding RNA, 224 nt
Filed under: Turicibacter sp.
Lineage: Bacteria; Bacillati; Bacillota; Erysipelotrichia; Erysipelotrichales; Turicibacteraceae
Description: T-box sequence
Rfam family: T-box leader
About the family: Uncharged tRNA acts as the effector for transcription antitermination of genes in the T-box leader family.
Source: RNAcentral